Long non-coding RNA from Oreochromis aureus, 743 nucleotides. RefSeq lists it as uncharacterized. The transcript has 4 exons. NCBI's taxonomy places the organism in Eukaryota, Metazoa, Chordata, Actinopteri, Cichliformes, Cichlidae. The record is from RefSeq and is a predicted model, not a curated record.
UGACAGACAUAUUUUCGGAUUGACGGAUAGUUAACUGGAGUGAAAAGCUGUUGUACCCUACUGUGAGUAGGAGGAGACGGACGUCUUGCUGGCGUGUCAGAGAGGUCCCUUCUACUGGUGUGCUGAAGUUAUGUGUUCACGUGGGAGCACGUGGAGAGGACGACUGAGUGCUGCUGCCGCGGCCUGCUGGUAGCCUUGACCCAGUUUCCCCUGCUAUCCCCUUGAACUGCCUGGAGGUGUGAGUACUGUUUGCACGUGCUUUUUAUUUUACUGCUUGGCAACAAGUGAAGCGACCAUAUUGUUUUAGGUCCCAACGCACCCGAGCCACGACUCAGGCCUGCAACGAGGGUUUUGCUAGCAGAAAGACUUGAGAUACGAGAACUGCAAGAGCUACAAGAGGCUGUGAACAAUGACGGUCCAGCUGCUGAACAUCAGGAGGUAUCAGCUGACUCAUGGCUGAUGCCGUACCACAGACAGAAGCGUGGCAUCAAGUGUCGCUUUUGCUGCGGCUGCUGCAAUUCUGGUGUCUGUGGAUUGUGCUGCAGAUUCUGAGAAUAUCUACCUGCGAUUCUCACAUUAACCACUAAAUAUAGACGGUUAUACCUGAAAUGAUUUGACUGCUUAGCAUUUGUUAAAGUCUGACAGUGUUUCUUCAUCUGGUGAUCCUGCUGUAACAGUGAACAGUGCAGCAUUUGGAACUACAGUAUGUUAUUAUAUUAAACUUCAGUGGCACUAUACUACAA